This is a long non-coding RNA of Syngnathus typhle (broad-nosed pipefish), 956 nucleotides long. RefSeq lists it as uncharacterized. Lineage: Eukaryota; Metazoa; Chordata; Actinopteri; Syngnathiformes; Syngnathidae. The transcript has 4 exons. The record is from RefSeq and is a predicted model, not a curated record.
UGACGCCUGGCCGCUAGCUCGUUAGAGCUCGUAUUAGCAUGCGUGCUACCCGAUCACGGAAAGUCAGACCGGCCACAGAGGACGCGUACUCCGAGAAGACCUUUAGCUGUCACCGAGACGCUGCUUUGAUGUCUUCCUGUGGGACGUACUUGUGCCACAUAGGAUCCUCUGGCUCAUUUGCGAAGCCGGAGUUGGGCUAGCUGGCGGAGACGUGAGCGAGCUAGCAAGAAAAUCAUCCUGCUCUCAAGUCAUAAGAACUCCAGUCGCACGCCAUCAUCCAUUCCAACCCCGACUAACGAUUCCUCCCUCGGACACUAAUCUCGAUUUAUUUUAUUUUACAUGAGGGGGUUGGAUUACAGCACCCGUUUGGAAUGGAUGAAAAUGAUUGACUGUCAUCGGCACUUAAUGUAAACCAUGUAAACAUCAGCUCUUAAGAGCGUGAAGUUAAUUUUGUGUUCAGAUUUGCAAUUCAAAUAAUACAACAUCAUAUAAUGAGAGCAGAAUGCCCUUGCAAAAUGUCACUGUAUUUUAAACAAACAUUAAAUAUGACAUGUUAGGCAAAUCAUUUUUUAUUACUACUUAUAUAUGAAUUUUUAAUUCCAUAUAUGGGCAUUUGAUGAUUUUUUUUAAUGUCCAGUAGUGAUCCACUGUGAUCAAACCGCAGCUAGGUGGUGCUAUUGAGAGCCAUGCCUCGGAGUUGGAAAACAACAAAGUGCAUCAGAGCUCACAGAAAUCAUCCAAAAAUUCAACGGCGUAGCAUUUUUUAACAUGGCUAUGCAAAAUGUAUGAUCAUCUACAAUUGUUGCCCUUCAAAUGACAGCAAUGCAGGUCUGCACCCACAAGGCUCACUAUGUGGAAGGAGUAUGUUGCCAUACAUCACAACGUUUAACCCUUUGAACUGUCAGCGACACUUCACUCAGACUCCCUCUCGACACGUUCAUCUGUCAGACGGAAAU